Molecule: transfer RNA, 64 nt
Filed under: Ocypus olens
Lineage: Eukaryota; Metazoa; Arthropoda; Insecta; Coleoptera; Staphylinidae
Description: tRNA-Tyr
Source: RNAcentral
GGUAAGGUGGCUGAGAAUAGGCAAUAAACUGUAAAUUUAUUUAUGAAUCAAAAUUCUCUUACCA